Molecule: long non-coding RNA, 608 nt
Organism: Fukomys damarensis (Damara mole-rat)
Lineage: Eukaryota; Metazoa; Chordata; Mammalia; Rodentia; Bathyergidae
Exons: 3
Source: RefSeq, a predicted model, not a curated record
CAAAGGACAUGAAAGGCCCAACACAUCCUCAAAAGCCUGGGCAGAAAUACACUCCGAAAUCACUACUUUCUUUAUUUUGAAAGUAGUGGUUCCAAUAAGAGCCAAGGUGUCGAGGGCACGAACAAUAUGCAGAUCCUCCUGCUUCGGGCAAAGCCACCCCUUUGAUGGGCUCCCAGCCAAGCGCAGGGGGACCUCAGUGUAGGCACAGGCCUAAGCCAGCAGCCCGGCCCAGCCCUCCCACAGCACCGGCUCCACACAUGGCUCUGUCCUCUGAUGCAGGCACGCACGGUUUGCUGAGUGCGGAAGUCUGCAGCCGGGUCCUUGCCCAACCUUACCCGCCUGCCCCCCAUGGUCCUCAGUAGAGUCCUGGAGCUCCCGCCAGGCUGGAAAGUCCUGGGACGCACCCCAUAUGGUAGGAUUAGAGCUGCAGUAGAAAUUUUGGGGAAUUCUGACCCCAAACGUGUGCUUUGCCGUUGUCCAAGCUCCUGUCUCCAGGUCCCUUCCAUCUUUAAUCCUUUAAUGGAGACACUCUGACUGUGUCCACGCACUCAUUAACACAUGUUUAAAUAAUUAUGGUAAAAUCCGCAUUUUAUGCAUCCUUAAGCACC